RNAcentral lists this ribosomal RNA (481 nucleotides) under uncultured bacterium. Its description in RNAcentral is "partial 16S ribosomal RNA". It matches the Rfam family "Bacterial small subunit ribosomal RNA", at positions 356 to 844 of the family's 1533-position model. The record is from RNAcentral.
GGGGAAUAUUGCACAAUGGGCGAAAGCCUGAUGCAGCAACGCCGCGUGCGGGAUGACGGGCCUUCGGGUUGUAAAACCGCUUUCAGCAGGGACGAAGGGUUUUCUGACGGUACCUGCAGAAGAAGCACCGGCUAACUACGUGCCAGCAGCCGCGGUGAUACGUAGGGUGCGAGCGUUGUCCGGAAUUAUUGGGCGUAAAGAGCUUGUAGGCGGUCCGUUGCGUUGGAAGUGAAAAACUCAGGGCUUAACCCUGAGCCUGCUUUCGAUACGGGCGGACUUGAGGGAUGUAGGGGAGAACGGAAUCCUGGUGGAGCGGUGGAAUGCGCAGAUAUCAGGAGGAACACCAGUGGCGAAGGCGGUUCUCUGGACAUUUCCUGACGCUGAGAAGCGAAAGCGUGGGGAGCAAACAGGCUUAGAUACCCUGGUAGUCCACGCCGUAAACGGUGGGCACUAGGUGUGGGACCCAUUCCACGGGUUCCGU